RNAcentral lists this ribosomal RNA (403 nucleotides) under uncultured bacterium. Its description in RNAcentral is "partial 16S ribosomal RNA". It matches the Rfam family "Bacterial small subunit ribosomal RNA", at positions 30 to 526 of the family's 1533-position model. The record is from RNAcentral.
AUUGAACGCUGGCGGCAGGCCUAACACAUGCAAGUCGAGCGAGCGGCGGACGGGUGAGUAAUGUAUGGGGACUGCCCGAUAGAGGGGGAUAACUACUGGAAACGGUAUCUCAUACCGCAUACUAUCGGAUAACCCAUAUGGGAUUAGCUAGUAUGUGAGGUAAUGGCUCACCUAGGCGACGAGCCCUAGCUGGUUUGAGAGGAUGAUCAGCCACACUGGGACUGAGACACGGCCCAGACUCCUACGGAGGCAGCAGUGGGGAAUAUUGCACAAUGGGCGCAAGCCUGAUGCAGCCAUGCCGCGUGUAUGAAGAAGGCCCUAGGGUUGUAAAGUACUUUCAGUCGGGAGGCGUUACCGACAGAAGAAGCACCGGCUAACUCCGUGCCAGCCGCCGCGGUAAUAC